AAUCCAUAGGUUAAUGAGGCGAACCGGGGGAACUGAAACAUCUAAGUACCCCGAGGAAAAGAAAUCAACCGAGAUUCCCCCAGUAGCGGCGAGCGAACGGGGAGGAGCCCAGAGCCUGAAUCAGCAUGUGUGUUAGUGGAAGCGUCUGGAAAGGCGCGCGAUACAGGGUGACAGCCCCGUACACAAAAGCGCAUGUGCUGUGAGCUCGAUGAGUAGGGCGGGACACGUGGUAUCCUGUCUGAAUAUGGGGGGACCAUCCUCCAAGGCUAAAUACUCCUGACUGACCGAUAGUGAACCAGUACCGUGAGGGAAAGGCGAAAAGAACCCCGGCGAGGGGAGUGAAAA
This 345-nucleotide ribosomal RNA is filed under the name Salmonella enterica subsp. enterica serovar Anatum. RNAcentral's name for it is "partial 23S ribosomal RNA". It matches the Rfam family "Bacterial large subunit ribosomal RNA", at positions 161 to 543 of the family's 2925-position model. Lineage: Bacteria; Pseudomonadati; Pseudomonadota; Gammaproteobacteria; Enterobacterales; Enterobacteriaceae. The record is from RNAcentral.